RNAcentral lists this long non-coding RNA (965 nucleotides) under Sorghum bicolor (sorghum). Its description in RNAcentral is "long non-coding RNA (SBIC_LNC013408)". Lineage: Eukaryota; Viridiplantae; Streptophyta; Magnoliopsida; Poales; Poaceae. The record is from RNAcentral.
CAAUGGUAAGAGAGAAAUGGAAACGUGUUCUUGAACGAUACUCCUCCCUACAGCAGGUGAUGGUCAGAAUCAAGAUCGAAGUGAAGGUUUGGAAGCAGGCGCCAAGCAUUCAGGGAGCUUAUUUAGACCGCUUACUAAGAGACUGUCAGGAAUGGGUAGAAAUCGACUCAUUUUUUUUUCAUAGAAAUUCAAUAAACAAGUCCCAAGGACAUCAGGCAUACACUCCGUCACUCACCUCAUUCAGAAAAGAAGAGCUUUUAGCUUAGCGCAGACUUUAUUUGAGAGAUACACUCCAGGAAACGAUGCUGAGUGACAGGGCAGGAGCUCGAAAUCUGUUCAGCAGCGCGCAGACUUUGCACGGCACGGACUGCUGGGUGGAACCUUGAACAGAGGGCGCCCGACGAUGUAUGCCUUGUCGUCUUCCACGGCGCCGGUGGCGGAGACGCCGGCUCCGGUAACUGCCAUGGCACGCGCGUACGCACGUGUUAGCAGCUCACGGCGAGACAAACAUCAUAUGAUAGCUCAGGUGGCAGAGAACUCAUGAUGGAGGUCAGUUUAUUAGUACUCACCAACGCUUUUGUGCGGCCGCUCAGCAAUGGGAUCAUUUGCCAAGCGCGCGAGCACGUGCUCGUGGCAGCCGACGGUCAUGGCGGCGGCAAGGAGCAGAACGACGGCGAGCGCGAGGAGCGGCGUCCUGCUGGCGCCCAUUGCACGCAAGCUGUGUUGACGGAUAUGCGCUCGGCAAUGUUGCAACCACCCACGUACUCAAUGCUUUGUGCGACACUGGGUGUUUGAUGUACAUACGCCAAUUUAUUUGUAGGACGAUGGUCUGUCUGGCAGUCUUAUUAUUGGCGAGAAGAUUCAGAGGAGGCAGAUGAUCAUGGAGCUAUAGAUGAGAAGAGCACAUGCAUGGCUACCCAUGAAUCUUGCUCAACAUCGCCCAUUGUUCAAUCUAGAAGGGGAUU